UAGGGAAUCUUCCACAAUGGACGCAAGUCUGAUGGAGCAACGCCGCGUGAGUGAAGAAGGUUUUCGGAUCGUAAAGCUCUGUUGUUGGUGAAGAAGGAUAGAGGUAGUAACUGGCCUUUAUUUGACGGUAAUCAACCAGAAAGUCACGGCUAACUACGUGCCAGCAGCCGCGGUAAUACGUAGGUGGCAAGCGUUGUCCGGAUUUAUUGGGCGUAAAGCGAGCGCAGGCGGAAGAAUAAGUCUGAUGUGAAAGCCCUCGGCUUAACCGAGGAACUGCAUCGGAAACUGUUUUUCUUGAGUGCAGAAGAGGAGAGUGGAAUUCCAUGUGUAGCGGUGGAAUGCGUAGAUAUAUGGAAGAACACCAGUGGCGAAGGCGACUCUCUGGUCUGCAACUGACGCUGAGGCUCGAAAGCAUGUGUAGCGAACAGG
RNAcentral lists this ribosomal RNA (429 nucleotides) under bacterium. Its description in RNAcentral is "partial 16S ribosomal RNA". It matches the Rfam family "Bacterial small subunit ribosomal RNA", at positions 355 to 776 of the family's 1533-position model. The record is from RNAcentral.